AGAUAUUCAAUCCUCUUCUUCAUUCGAGCGUUAAGAUAAAUCUCACAAACUCUUCAAAAAACGUCUCUUCUAUCUCCUUUUUGCUCGAUCCGAGCCGUAACUUGUUGCUCACUCAUCCUCGUGAUGCUCAUUGGCUUCUCUUUAAGAAGGUUCAGCAGCUCUCAAAUAAUCUUUGUCAUCUGAAUCCUUGGGCAACGGAGCCUUAGUCGUGUAGUCCUCCAUUAAAUUAUCAUCUUUCUCUUAUCACAUGUUCUUGGACCAUAUUCGGACAACCAUAUUGUCAUCCCCUUUAUCAAGAAACCCAUUUCCUUAUGACAAACUCUCUAUUUAGCAACUGAAUGUGAAUCAACACUUCUUUUCUAGGAUGCAAAUGCAAUGCAAUCAUAAUAAAAAUAACAUAAAAAACAAGUUAGUACAAAGUAAAAGCAAAUGAAUAAAGUACCUACUCGGGAAACCACUAGGGUUUGGUGUAAUUACUCCUAAGGUGGGUAACUAGGGUUCACUAUAUGUAGUUUGGCUCUAAGGUAAGGGUACCUGAACUAGCAGAUUCCUCGAUCCUCACCCAUUAUAGGCUCAUACGGACCAAGUUUAGUUCAGGGGAAUACAUUUUCCUAUGGCUACACGGAGAUGAAAAUCUCACGAAGACAUAGGUACGGAUGUAUCCCGAAAGCAAUCCGCUAUCCUGCACGGAGGUGAAGACCUCACGAAGGAAAUAGCUUUUCACUUCCACUUAAAAGGGUACAAUCAUUCAACUCAUGUAAUGAAUAAUGCAAAGAUCAAUUAAGCAAGAAAAUGAAUGAAUGCACAAUGAUCUCAUGAUUUUUUUAAAAAAAAAUUAUUUUCUCAACAAUAAGACAGAAAUUAAUCAACUUUGUGGAUCAACUCUCGUAUGUGUCCCCAGCGGAGUCGCCAAGCUGUCGAAACCAUUUUUUUGAAAAAUAAAAGUUUUAGGUUGUCGACUUUUAAAAAAUGAAAAUUGGGAGUCGCCACCAAUCUUUUAUUGAGGUGUGAUUGGAUCACCUAAAAAACGGCUUUGGUCUACGAGUUUUAGAAAAACGGAUCCGUGAGUCGGUUACGUACGAGGAAGAAUUAGCACCCUCGUAACGCCGAAAAUUGGUACCUAGUUAAUUAAUUAAUGUCUUAAUGUCGAAAAUUUGAAAAAUAUAAUCCUUAGCAAAAACUGAAAAACAUUACGUAUUAAGACCCUUAUCAUUUCAGAGAAAGAAAAUGCCAUACCCAAUGCGUUAGGGCACGGCAUUCUAAUUUCCUUAAAAAUGAAUUAGGCCAAAAUACUCGUACAAUAAAAAUUUAAAAGAAUAUCCAUUUAUUCAAGAUUUAAGAAAUCGCGGCCCAAUACGUUAGGGCACAAUUCCUCUAAAAUCCUAAACUCGGAAUAUUUCCUUUAUUAUUAUUUUUUAGAAAAAAUCUUCAUUUCGAGAAAUCAAUGCGUCACAUCCAAUACGUUAGGACACAACGUGUCAAAUUUCUAAUAAUGAGUUCUUAUUUUUUGAUUAAAGAGAAAUGCUCGAUUGUUAGAUUUAACAAAGAAAAUCGGAACCCAAUACGUUAGGGCUCAAUUUCCUUGAAAAUCCUAAAUACGAACAUUAUCUCAAUUUUGAAAAUUUUCUAUUUUUAAAUUCGAGUAAAAGAUGAUGUAACGUUAUUUUAUAUGUGUAAAUGUCGUAAUAACAAUGAUAACAAAUACAAUAAUGACAUAAAAAUAAUAUAAACAAAUAAAUAAAAAAAUAAAAGAUAUGAAAAUAUAAAUCAGCAAACAAAUAAAAAAAUAAAAAAAUAAAUGAAGAAAGGAAAGUGCAUAACAUAUACAUUGGAAUUAUAAGAAAUAAAAUACACGAUUUACAUAUAAAAUUUGAAUUAUAAAAUUUAUAUAAGUAUACAAUGCAUUUAUGAAAAUAAAGAAAAAUGUAUAAAUAUACAUAUAUAAAGUUUAAAAUAUAUGUGUGAAAAAAAUAUAAAUAUGUAUUUAAGCAUUUUCAAAAAUAUAAAAAAUAUGUACGUAUAUGUAUGAAAAUAUAAUAGAAUAUUCAAAAAAAAUAUGUAUACAUGUAAAACAUAUUAAAGAUAAUUUAUUAAUAUCUACAUUAAGAAAAAAAAUAUGAAUAUAUAUAUAUAUAUGAAAAAAAUAGUUGAAAGAAAAUAAAGAUGUUCAUAAGAAAAUAAUAAAUAUACAUAUAUAAUUAAAAAGAAUUACAUAAAAAAAUAAUUACAUCCUAAAAAUUAACUAAUUUUAAGAAAGAUAUAAAAAGAACUAAAUUGAAUUGCAAAUAAAAAAUUUGGGGCAAAUCCGCAAAUAAAUAAAGCCAAAAGGACCACAUUUAAACACACAAAUAAUGUAGAGGGGCUGGAAGGGCAAUUUUCCCUUCUCCCUUUUUUAAAAUCGUAGAUAAGUAAAAAAUAAUCGAAAAAAAAAGAAAACAGUAAGCCACCUUUAAAAAAAAAACUACCAAUCGUUCUCCUUUUUUUUAUUGAUUCUCCCCCUUUUUGAUGAAUGGAGAGGCCUCUAUAUAUAGCUGAGCCUCCCCAAAUCCAACGGUACAAAUCAAUUACAUCAACGGCUAAGAUUAAUGGUUAUCUACAAAUUAAAUCUUUAAGAUUACAAAAUCAUAUCUUCUAAGAUUGUAUAUAUCAUAUCUAAGAUUACAUAUAUCAUAUCUAAGAUUGCAUAUAUCAUAUCUAAGAUUGCAUAUCAUAUCUAAGAUUGUAUAUCCUCGAAAAUUAUGUUUCCAUAUGUGAGCCCGGGCUAAAAUUGGGUAUUACAUUUAUAUAUAUAUAUAUAUAUAUAUAUAUAUAUAUAUAUAUAUAUAUAUAUAUAUUCAUGCAUUUUUCUAAGCCCAUAGUUGGCCACCUAUUUACCCACAUUAAUUAAGUAGCGUAAUUGCUACUUUAGCCCUUUUAAUUUAUUUCAAUCAAUAAUUCAACUUUUAAUCCUUACGCGAUUUAGUCCCUGUACCUUAAUAACUCCUAAUUUCAUGAAAUUUACUAAAUCAAUAAUUAAUUAGCUACCCAACUAACUUCAUAAAUAUUUAAUUAAAUAUUUACGAGUCCGGUUUACGAAAACAAAAUCCUAGAAAUACGUUUUCUGACACCCCGACUAUCGAGUCGUUUACACUGGGCGACGAUUAGGAAUUUUAAUUAUGGGCAUUUAAGUCCAUAUAAUGAAAUGUAAUCAAAUUUUUGGGCUGUUAAUCAAUCCUAAUUAGGUCAAAACAUGAACUCUAUAAAUAGGCAUGUUUAGCCUCAUUUUAGGAGGCUUGGCUAAGUGAGACACUUAGUUAGCUUUAGGUUUUUAUUUUCUUUCAAUUUAGUCCUUUAAAUAGUUUUUGUUCUUGUUUAACUUGGAUUCUAUUUUAAUCCAAGCUUUCAAUUUAAUAGUUUUUAGUUAUUUCUUUUUGGUUUCCAAUCGCAAUCGAAAUUAUCUUCGCAAUUGUUAAAGGAAAUCCCACUUUUGUGCACAAAUCGACAUCGAGACAGAUUUAUUUUCUUAUUCCAUUCUUAUAUUUAAUUUACUAUUUUGUAUGUUAAAUAUGAGUUUAAGGAAUAUUGCAUCUAGGUCCAUUAGUGACUAGUUUCCUUAGGGAGAUUAAUGAACGGAUGUGUGACUAUUAACGAAUAAAUUAAUGUUUAGUUUCGAGUUAGUUGGUUUAAAUUAUGUGCGAUUAAACCCUAGGAAGUGAAAACUAGGGGUGUGCAUUCGGUUAACCGACCCGAAUUAGUUAAAAUCGAAUUAACCGACCUCCAAAAUUUUUUAACCGUUAAUCGAACCGGAAUUUUUUAAAAAAAUAUUAACCGAACCGAAUUUUUUUCGGUUAAAUCGGUCGGUUAACCGAAUUAACCAAAAAUCAUAUGAUUUUUUUGGUUAAAAAUUAACCGAUUUAACCUAUUUAACCGAUUAACCGAUUUAACCUAUUUAACCGAUUAACUGACUUAACCGAUUUAACCGAUUUAACCGAUUUAAAUCACUAUAUAAUUAAAAACAUGAAACAUGAAACAUGAAACAUGAAUUGUUCUCCCAAACGAGUGGGGGUGUGUGUGUGUGUGUGUAUAUAUAUAUUUUAAUUAUUGUAUUUACUCUUUUCAUAACCUUAAAAUUAUAAUCGAUUUAAACAUCGAAAAAUAUCAAUAUCAAUUUUAAUGCUCCCGUAGCUCAUCUUUCUCUCUUUAUUUUUUCUUUUCAUUACCUAACAAUUCGACUCAAAUUCAUAUCUAUGUAUGAACAAUAUCAAGAAAUACAUCAAAUAUAAAACCAAUUUACUCUAUUUAAGCUUAAUGGUAUAUUUCACCAACUAUCUUGAUUAGCAACCUUGAGCAAUCACCGACAAUUCGAUAGAGCCAGCCUGGUGGCACUUCCAUUGGUGUUUGCUUACGAUGGAAUCAUAAAAGGAUAAUAAUUUCUAAUAUUGCGAUGAAAUAUUUUUCAUUGAAAAUAAAACGAACCCUUCGAUAUUAGCAAACCUUACAUUGAAAUUAAAUUUGAUUUUGACUGUUAGGAAACUUCCAAUGACUAAAGCAUGGAUGACUCGAAACUUAAAAUACAGUUUUUAAUAUGGUGCAAGAUUUUUCAGUAAUCUCAACAAAGAUUACAUUAAUUAAGUAAUACGGUUUACGAAAGUCGAUAGUAUUUUAGUAUAAUUUAACCCAAAACAUUAAAAUAUAAAAUCCAAACACUUAAAACAAGAAGAAAGCAAUGAAUGUGCAUAUGCAAUGGUGUCUGCAGCAAUUAUAAAAUGCCCACAUUGUACUUUGUUACAGAAACCAGUUUGACAAUCUGUUUAUGCUUGGUUUUUUUUAAUGUAUCUUUGUGCAGAUCCUAUCACAAUCAUGAGAUUUCCAUUUCCUAAUUUAUUUAAUUAAGCCAUUUUUAAUUAAAUACAUCAGACUUCAGAGUUUGAUGCGUGGUGUUGAAUGAACAAAAACAGAGCAGAACUCUGACCCUUUACAAAAUGAACAAAAUAGCAAGCAGGUCAGGUAUUAGACAUAGUUGGGCCAAGUUGAAGGCGACAUAGCAACCAGUACCAGCUAACCUAAGGCUCACGUACUUUAACUUAGCUCUUUGUGGGUGUUAAUUUUCCAAAGCCACUUCAAAGUUCAAUCAGUGCGAGAAAUGAAAACAAAACCCUAAAAUUAAAAAAAAACAAAGGGAAAUUAGAAGAAACCAAACCUGGCCUUUGGGUAUUAGUCAAUUAGUGUGCUGGAAGAGAAAUGGAUAGCAAAAAUGGUGGAUUUUCCCGAAUGAAAAUCUGAGAUUCAGAUUGAAAAAUGAGAAGUUGAGAACCCGAUGGCAGAUUUGUGAGUUGUGACUUUGUGCUUGGUUGCUUGCUGUCUGUUGAGUGAGUGCUAUUGAGAAAA
RNAcentral lists this long non-coding RNA (5367 nucleotides) under Gossypium barbadense (sea-island cotton). Its description in RNAcentral is "long non-coding RNA (GBAR_LNC022629)". Lineage: Eukaryota; Viridiplantae; Streptophyta; Magnoliopsida; Malvales; Malvaceae. The record is from RNAcentral.